GCCGGGCGUGGUGGCUCAUGCCUGUAAUCCCAGCUACUCAGGAGGCUGAGGCAGGGGAAUCGCUUGAGCCUGGGAGAUCGAGGUUGCAGUGAGCCGGGAUCGCACCACUACACUCCAGCCUGGGAGAUAGAGUGAGACUCUGUCUCAA
Molecule: non-coding RNA, 148 nt
Filed under: Homo sapiens (human)
Lineage: Eukaryota; Metazoa; Chordata; Mammalia; Primates; Hominidae
Source: Rfam by way of RNAcentral